GCAGGAGGAAACAGGCUCAGAGCAGACACAGAGCUUGAUGAAGUUACAUAGCCACGAAGUGACGGGGUCUGACCAUCAAACCAGAGCCUGCAGUCCUAACCACCACACUGCACUCUCCCUCUGGCUUAGUUUCCAAGAUGGACAAGAUACAGCCCUGGCGGUCCAAGGGCACAGAGCAUCAGAAGGACACAGAGCCCCCAGGGCACCCCUGAGGCACCCCCGGAGUUCCAGGGAGCACAGUUUGAAAGCACAGUAUUACAGGAGUGCGCGCCAUAAGCAGAAUGAAAAACGCUUUCUAAAAUCUACCUGCCCCCAACCAAACCUGGAUUGGAAGCUUCUUGAGGGCCAGCAGCACCUGGCGCCUGCUGAAAACACAAGUGUCUGUGAAGUGGAUGGAGGAGUGAAGCCUUUGUUUUCAUUUCCGAGGUCUGGCUCAGCUUCUCAGUCCCGGGACGCCCUCGCUGCAGUCCUUCAUGACCCUGUAAGGCAGGCGACAGUCUCCGGCUGCUCCCGGAUGGCGAGUUUGCGCUUUCCUUGCCUUUGUAUCAGAAUGAUUUGUGGCUUCUCAGGUGGAACGGCUGGUGAUAUAAUUAACAUUUCAAAACUUCGCAACCACAAAUUGAAUUUGUUUUGAAUAUUUGGGGAUGUUUAAACAGUAGCUUGAGUGUUAAAUUUGCACUUUAUGGGAG
RNAcentral lists this long non-coding RNA (689 nucleotides) under Equus caballus (horse). RNAcentral describes it as "lncRNA (ENSECAG00000041038.2)". The record is from RNAcentral. Lineage: Eukaryota; Metazoa; Chordata; Mammalia; Perissodactyla; Equidae.